CGUAUUUGACGACCUCCGUGUGUCUCUGUCAGCAAGUGUCUCCGGGGGGCCUGCCAAGGACUGAAACCCAUCAGCUCUCUGAACCAUAGCAGGCAGACAGG
Long non-coding RNA from Myotis brandtii (Brandt's bat), 101 nucleotides. RefSeq lists it as uncharacterized. The transcript has 3 exons. The record is from RefSeq and is a predicted model, not a curated record. NCBI's taxonomy places the organism in Eukaryota, Metazoa, Chordata, Mammalia, Chiroptera, Vespertilionidae.